This is a long non-coding RNA of Esox lucius (northern pike), 778 nucleotides long. The record is from Ensembl. NCBI's taxonomy places the organism in Eukaryota, Metazoa, Chordata, Actinopteri, Esociformes, Esocidae.
CUGGGUUCUACCAGGAAAAUUAAGGUGAUUUUCAUUCAGCGUUUCACAUUGGAGGGCUGUGAUGCUACUGUUUUCGACUAGUUGCCACAAGGCAUAAUUUUUUUUAAAAUCUUUAUAUUGAUUAAAGUUGAGCUUAGGUUUCUUGUUUGAAUAUAUUUGUUUUCCUUAUUUUAAUGCACUAACUGACUUGGGCUCGCCAAACCUACUCUGAGUCAAGACCGCAGGCCUUGGGCUAAGGUACCUCCUUUUAAGAGGAACACAGAGGCUCUUUAACUGGCAUACCCCAGGAGUCAACUGUGAGGCAGUCUUUAAAGAUGUGAACACGCAAUGAAUAUGGAGGCCAGUGUGCCUGAAGACCCUGGUCCUCCGACAUGCUCCAUGUGUCCUCUUAUUUUCGCGGGCAAUCGGCUGUUUCCAAGAGCUUCCUCAGUCGAAAAAGGCUGUGCUCGCUACCCGUCCGUGAGUCCUGCACUGCUACUCUUUAGAUGAACCUGCCUUGCCCAAUUACCCCCUGCUGACCUCAGAUGCCAGCUAAAUCGAAUGUGUGAAGACUCCCGAUGGACGCGUGGCGGUCAGGUCACACACAUGUACCGAGGCUCAUGGGAGCUCUAACACUGUAAAGGUUUCUGUUUUCCUAAGAGCAGUUACCAAGGUUACCUUUCUAAAACACUUUCCGUUUAAUGGCGGUUGUAUUUCACUGCCCUUGUGGACCACUGCUCAACUUUAGGAGUGUCCUGGGGAGCCUAAUAAACUGCUAUAUGACACAGUACAAUACCGC